RNAcentral lists this ribosomal RNA (882 nucleotides) under Triticum aestivum (bread wheat). RNAcentral's name for it is "partial small subunit ribosomal RNA". Lineage: Eukaryota; Viridiplantae; Streptophyta; Magnoliopsida; Poales; Poaceae. The record is from RNAcentral.
AUGGAUAGUGAGAGGGACAGCAUCCCAGGCAGUUUUAUGGAACUACUAAACAUGGUUGAGCAGCCCAUGUCAAAUUUCAAUCAAGAAAACACUAUGAACUCAGUACCCGAAGAAAGUUCUUGCUUUUCUGAUAGACCUUAUUGUUCAGAAGACACUGAUGUACUUUCGAGACCUAACUUAAGGGUGGACACUUAUGAUUAUGUAGAUGACUCAAAUGAAGUUCAGUCCAGUCUUGAAUUUAUGAAAGAAAAGGUUGCGAUUGCUGAUACGAUUUCUGCCCCUGAAAAUCUUGACGAGCAGUACUUAUUUUCUGCAUACAAUGUUCAGAUUGAGGAGUCUGAUUCUAAUGAACGAUACCUUGAAGGAGGACAAGUUGGAUCUGUGGAACACGGGAUUAGAAGUUUUUGUGAAGACACAUCUGUUCAAAUGUUAAGGCCGGUUGUUGGUAUGAAGUUUUCAUCAAAGGCAGAAGCAUAUGACUUCUACAAUACAUAUUCUUGGGUGCUUGGUUUCAGUAUUCGGAAUGGUGAUAAUUAUAUUAAUUGCAAUGGCGUACAGACAAUGCAGGAAUUAAUUUGCCAACGAGCAGGAAUCACCAAGAAUACUAAAUAUGCAACAACUAGAUGUGGUUGCAAGGCAACACUCAGGGUACAUCUUAAUGAAUAUUCAGAAUGGUAUGUCAAAGUUUUUAGGGAGGAACACAAUCAUUUCCUUGUCCAAUCUUGCAGCGAGAAGAAGCACCUGCAUUCACAUCAACAUAUUGACAAGACAAUAAGAGAUUUAAUAAAGAAUCUUCGGGAGAAUAAUGUUUCACUAACGAGGGCUAAUUCUAUAGUAGCAGGUUUCUAUGGCUCAACAAAGAAAGUACCAUUCUGUAAGUGA